CUUCUUCUCUCACUCCUCAGUCUUUCUCUUAGCCGAGCGCCCCUCUUCUUCUUUCUCGGUUUCUUUCACUCUCCACUCAAAUCCACUCAAAAUACUCUCAAGUUUGCCAAUUUUUUGGGAGAAAAUUUAUGGGGCUGCUCCCCUUAAGCUCCUCCACACUUUCCCUCCAUCUUUUUGAGAUUUGACUGGAUGAAUCUCUAGAUCGAGGAUGGUUUGUCGCCGAAAUCCUUCAGUCAUUGAAUCUGACUCUAAUGAAGACUCCCUAGAGAUUCAUGAGGAGGUACCCACAAGGUCUAGGUCCAAGCGAGGAAGAGGCUCUAGAAAUGUUGUGAUGGGAGCUGAGGCCUCUGGGUCUCAGAGUGGUCGCGGGCGUAUGACUCGAACUCCUAGUCGCUCUCGCCCUACUGCAAAUCCACAGGCCUGGGAACCUUCAAGCAAUGAUGAAGGUGGUAAAGACGAUGUUACUGAUCUUCCUCUUCUAGAUGCUCCCAUUGUCAGGGGUCUAGUUCUGCAUAAGGCCCAAGCCAGAAGAUCUGCGAAUGAGGAGAUCACUGAUUUUAGUGCCAGUGGAGGCUCGACACCUCUUCAUGACAUGCGCUUCCAAAAUCCAGCUUGUAAUACCUACUUUGUAAUAAAAAUCUAAAAAGAGAAAUUUCAUUUCUUUAUAUAUUUGUGAGUCA
Molecule: long non-coding RNA, 680 nt
Organism: Zea mays
Lineage: Eukaryota; Viridiplantae; Streptophyta; Magnoliopsida; Poales; Poaceae
Exons: 2
Source: RefSeq, a predicted model, not a curated record